GUGACCCUAGCGCGGUGACUUCUGGGAAAUGUAGUCCACCCGGAAUAACCAUGUCCACGGCGCCCGCCAUUCUGUAGCCUAUGCUCGGAGGGCACAUGAGCAAGAGCUUGACCAUCUGUACCGUUGGUUGACUUGCUCUAUUAAGGGCUAUGAUUUCAGGUCGUCCUGCGUGUUUAGAGGAGGCGAGUGGAAUCUUGAGUCUCGGCUGGAGAAGGCAGAGCACGGGCAUGCAGACCUCAAAGCCUCAAACCUGCGUGUGAGAGGAGAAGUUGGCGAGCUCCAGCGUAUGGUCCACGGAAGAUACAAGACAACAGCUUCUGCGAACCAGUAAGAGUGGCCUCAUUAGACAUUGGAUUUGCCAGUGACUUGAUCAUGGACUUCCCAGUCUCCAGGACUGUGAGUUAUAAAGGUCUUUCACCAUAUUUGCUGUCCUUGGGCAAGAUCAGAGUCAUCUUUGGAAGGAAAAGCAUCUCUGGAUUUUGUUAAAUACCAUCUUAGGAAAGUACUCUCUGCUCUUCAAAGUCAGCGACGACAUGAGUCACUGUUACAGAACCCACAGAAUGUGUCCCUUAAAAUACUGAGAAUGAACACUAUUUUACUGCCUGCAUAAUUAGCACUAGACAGGUGAAUUUAUUACUACUUCAUUAAAUAGAUGAGUUUAUUAACUCAGUGAAGACUUGUGGGAACCUUACUAAAAGAGAUGCAAUUCCCCAGCCUCAAGAUGCUCACAGUCUAGUGAUGAGGAAGCUGGCAAUUCCACUAUACAUGGCUAAAUGCCAGAGUAGUGCACAGCAUCCUUUAGCGGCAUGAGGAAUGGGCUCAUAAGCCCACAGUGGAAUGCAGGGGUUCUACACAAACGUAGCUUAAUCUGAGCCCUGGAGGGUGACUGAGCUCUAUUAGCCAGAGAAUCCAAAUCACUAUAAAACUCCCAGAGAACAAAUGUCAUGAUGUGAAGACAAAUAACAGGCAGAAAGAGAUGGGCAGGAAGGCAGAAUUCAAACCAUGAUGACGUUCAAGUCACAAAAUUAUCUGCAAGUCAGCAGGAGAACACUGAAGGACUUCUGGAAAGGAGAGUAAAAAGAUUCCUUUCAUGUUAGAAACAGAUUACCCUCUCAAACGGGAGGAGGCUUGAGGGGGAGGAGGCUAGGGCCAGAGAGACUAUUAGGAGAGCCACACUAAGAAACUCUUUCUUCUUUAUUCAAAUGUCACCACCUCAGAGUCUCUCUCUAGCCAUCCUGUAGAUAAUUUCGGUCUCCUAACUGCACCCCAACACUUCCUAUCCCUCAUCUCUGCUUACUUCUUUUCUCUAAGCCCUUAUUCCUCUCUAACAUCCUUCUAGGUAUUUACUUACUUAUAUUCAUUACACUUGUCUAAUGUGGAGUUUCGUUACCUGCUCCAUCCCCAACACCUACUAAGUUGCUACAAGCAUUUGGAAGGAACCCAAAGAUUUGCAGAAUGACUACUUUAAUGACUCAGUGAAUAGUUGAUAGAUACACCAUGUGGAUCAGGGCCUCAUUAUUUAUCACCUGAACCAUUCAUUCAACAUAUGAUUGUUGAAGGGUCUACUCUGUGCCAGCCAAGGGUCCUAGAUGUGAAAUAUACAGCAGUGAACAAAGACCUUGAUCUCACAAAGAUGAUAUUAUAAUGGGCUACGAGGGCAUAGCAAACCCCCAAUAUAUAGCGAGAGACACUUUUAAGAACAAUAGGGCAGGGUAAAGAAAUAAAGAGAUGAAAGGAGGGGCUGUCACAGAAUAAGUUUUUGUCAUGAAAGAUUUCUCUUAUAUUUGAACAGAGACCUCAAAUAUAGGAAGAGAAAGCCAUGUAGAGAUCUGAUAUCUGAAGGCAUGUAAUUCAGCCCUGAAGAACAUAGAAAAUUUUUUUUUGUUAAAAAGCCAUAGGUCUGGUAUUUAGCAAAGACAUGGAAUCAACCUAAAUGCCCGUCGAUAGCAGUCUGGAUAAAGAAAAUGUGGUGCAUAUACACCAUGGAAUACUAGGCGGCCAUAAAAAAGAUGUCCUGGCUGGGCGCGGUGGCUCAUGCCUGUAAUCCCAGCACUUUGGGAGAGUGAGGCAGGCGGAUCACCUGAGGUUAGGAGUUCGAGAACAGCCUAACCAACAUGGAGAAACCCUGUCUCUACUUAAAAAAAAAAAUACAAAAUUAGCCAGGCAUGAUGGCGAAUGCCUGUAAUCCCAGCUACUCAGGAGGAUGAGGCAGGAGAAUUGCUUGAACCUGGGAGGUCAAGCUUGUGGUGAGCCAAGAUCGCACCAUUGCACUCCAGUCUGGGCAACAAGAGCGAAACUCUGUCUCAAAAAAAAAAAAAAAAAAAAGAUGUCCUUUGCAGGAAGAUGGAUGGAGCUGGAGGACAUUAUUCUUAGUAAACUAAUACAGGAACAGAAAACCAAAUACCGCAUGUUCUAACUCAUCAGUGGGAGCUAAAUGAUGAGAAUACAUGGACACACAGAGGGGAACAACAGACACUGGGGUCUCCAUCAGAGGGUGGAGGGUGGGAGGAGGGAGAGGACCAGAAAAAAUAACUCAUGGGUACUAGGCUUAAUACCUGGGUGACAAAAUAAUCUGUACAACAAACCCCCAUGACACAAGUUUACCUGUAUAACAAACCUGCACGUGUACUUCUGCAGUUACAGAAGAUCAAGGAUGGGACUAAGAACCUAUUUCUACCAAUAUCCCAGGUGAUGCUAAUGCUGCUGGUCCCUAAAUUACAAUUUGAUAGCAUCAGUUAAAACAGCUCUCUAGAUAUUUUCAGACAGACUAACACUUGAGGUUUUCACCUCCAAUUUUUCUACUAACCCCAAUAUACUAUCCUAUUGCCUAAGGGCAAAAAGAACUAAAGAAGGUAAAAACAAACUGCAAGCUUCUCUUUCUCUCUGAUACUAACAAACAGGAAUGAAGGUUUGUUAGGAUCAGGAGUGCCAAGAUCAACUCUAUGCUCCUAACAUUAACCACGAAAAAACCCAGGCCACUCAUAAAAUACUCCCUAUAAUGACAGCAACUGACAUUUAGAGCAACUGACUGGCUGCCUACCAAGGCACUGUUUACAUAAAUUCUUCACAUGUAGUAUCUCAUUUGAUUUUCAUAACGAUGAUAGAGAUUGAGAAAAUAAUUAUGCCCAUUUUACAGACAAGGAAAUAGAGGCACACAGAAGUAACUUGUUCAUGUUUAACAAGUGGUCAACAGAAAAGUCAGGAUUUUCACCCAGUGCCUUAUCUACUAGAACACUGGCUGCGCCAGGCAAUGAACCCAGGCAAUCUGACACCUGUGCCCAUGUUCUUAACCGCUCGACAGUGGUUCUCAAACCCUGGUAUGCAUCCAUAUCAAAAGGCCUGAGGUUCCAUGUGCUGCCUUGAUACCUUUGAGACUCACAGGGCCCUGAAGGCCUAGCCAUGAGCUCCCGGCUCUCUCCAGAUAUGCCCUCUCAGUGGGAAAGGAUCCCUGCCCGCCUAGUUCCUCGUGUGUUAACCAUGUUUUAUGUACUGGCUAUUUGAUAUCUGCUAUUCCUAAUCUCUCCCUAAGUCUGCUGAAUCACAGGGCCAGACUAACAACCAAAAUUAUGUGCAUCUUCCCUGCAAGCAGCUUUCACCGGUGGGAGAAAGACAUAUUACAAAAGCAUAGGCCCCAGUUCCUUUCUCUGUCUGCUUCCUGACCCUUGCCUGUAGUGGGCUUCAUGUGGUCUGGUGUGGUGUGAUGUACCAGUGGAACUCUAAGUAUUAAAAUACUAUUCAUUGGCAUUAAUCUCUCCAUGUUGUCACUCAGCCGCUUUUAUAAAAUUAAGACUUAGGCACAAUUCAUCCUAUUUAGCCAGACCACCUGUACCCCACCAGGUCCUCCACAUAACAGGUUUUGCCUCCCUGCCAGCCUGUAGAAUUAUCCAAAUGGUCAAUUAAAUCUUCUUGCAGGAACCAAGGGUCACCCUGCUACCCUCCUGUCACUACAAAAUCAACCUACCAUGGCCCCUGUUGGUUCAAUCUAUUCUCAAGUGCAAGUCCCCUGGGCUGUGAAUAUGUGACUAAUAAACUGCUACCAACCUCUUCUGCAUAGGCUGACUGUAGGGUUUGUGUGUUCAGCCACCUCCUGCCAGUUCAAGUGAUGUCUUAGUCCAUUUUUGCUGCUAUAACAAAAUACCACAGUUAUAAAGAACAGAAAUUUCUCACAGUUCUGAAGGAUGGGAAGUCUAAGAUCAAGGCUCCAGCAGGUUGUGGGUCUGGUAAGGGCCUUUUUGCUGUGUUCUCACGUGGCAGAAGGGUAGGGGAAAAGGGGGAUGGAGGAAUGCUGUGUCUUCAUAGUCUUCAUAUGGCAGAAGAACAAGGGAGGUGAACUCUCUCUCUGAAGCCUCUUUUAUAAGAGCAUUAACUCCUUCAUGCCCUCAUGACUUAAUCACUUCCCAAAGGCCUCACCUCUUAAUAACACCACAAUGGGGAUUAAGUUUCAAUGUUUGGGGGACACUCAGACAGCAGCAGGUGGGGGAAUCCCUCCUUCACCAAUGGGGUGAAUAGGUGACCAGAACCCCCGAAUUACUAAUAAAGAACACAGAAGUUCAAGCUCAUAGAAGUAGUGUAGGGCCUGGGUCUUAUGAUUCUGAUGUGACCACAGUUCAAGAACCACUGCAUUAUUCUACACUGCCUCUUAAAGAGUUGACGGAACUGUCCAAGGGCACCCAGGAAACCAGGGGCAUGGCUCUGCCUGGCACUCAGGCCUACUGAUUAUCAGCUCCCUGCUCCUCUCCAGUAUAAGAUGCCCCUAGAGCUCUCUAUAAGAGGAAAGGGCUGCAGAAUGACUGGUAAUGCCUCUGGAGGCAAAUUCUCAGAAUGAAAGGGGAGGCUUCCCUUAGAUCAGUGCUGUCCAACAGAAAUAUAAUGCAGGCAAGCUAUUCGUGUAAUUUAAAUUUUUCUCAUAGCUACACUGAAAAAGGUAAGAUGAAGCAAGUGAACUUAAUUUCAACAAUAUAUUUUCUUUAACCCAACAUAUCCAAAGUAUUAUCCCCUCAACUUGUAAUCAGUAUAAGAAUUAUUGAGGGAUUUUACUUUCUUUUUUUCAUACUAGAUCUUUGAAAUCUGUUGUGCCUUACCAUUAUAACAUAUCUCAAUUCAGACUAGUUACGUUUCAGGUGCUCAAUAAUCACAUGCGGCUAAUGGCUACACUAUUGGAUAGUGCAGGUUUAGACCUUUUUAUUAAGGCAAUAUAGACUAUAUAAUCAUCUCACAGGGACUUGCUAAGUUCAAAAGACAGCAAAUUAGUUGUAGGUUUCAACAAUCACUAUCAUAGAAACUAUGCACAUUUGUUUAAAUAUGUAACAGAAUUAAAGUAUCCAUAGAAAAAGUGGAAAGUGGGGAAGAAAAGAAUACUUAAAAAUAUACCUUUGAGGCUGGGCACGGUGGCUCACGCAUGUAAUCCCAGCACUUUGGGAGGCCCAGGCGGGUGGAUCACGAGGUCAGGAAUUCAAGACCAGCCUAGCCAAGAUGGUGAAACCCCGUCUCUAUUAAAAAUACAAAAAAAUUAGCUGGG
Molecule: long non-coding RNA, 5518 nt
Filed under: Homo sapiens (human)
Lineage: Eukaryota; Metazoa; Chordata; Mammalia; Primates; Hominidae
Description: HSALNT0260420
Source: RNAcentral